Dendronephthya gigantea is the source of this 447-nucleotide long non-coding RNA. RefSeq lists it as uncharacterized. The transcript has 3 exons. The record is from RefSeq and is a predicted model, not a curated record. Lineage: Eukaryota; Metazoa; Cnidaria; Anthozoa; Malacalcyonacea; Nephtheidae.
GUCAUCGUGUGCGCAUCUUUUCUGCGCACGUGAACUUGAAAAACUACUGCCGUAGUUUUUCAAGUUUUCCAGUCCAAUAUGGCGGAUUCGCGAAGAGGCUUGCACGGUGGCAAACGAAAUAAUUGCGGCCGGAAAAGGAAGUACGAAGGACGAAAUGCACAGAAAAAUUGGGACAGAGAACACAGAAGAAUAUUUGUAUCCUUGACGAUAUUUAAUUCUUGGAAAGAUGCCAAAAGUAUUGCAGGAUAUGAGUUACGUAGUGACAGUGAAUUUGCAGCACAUCUACUUUCACUGGAAUAUCGAAGAAGGUCUGAUGAAACAAGGGGAUACAUUCAGCCAGCUGAAUGCCCUGAACCAAGUUCGAACAUUAUAAAUAUAAACACAAUAGGCCAAAACGUAAUAUCAACACCGAUAAAGAAGACAAUGAAGGAUGUAUUGUAUAAACUU